This 935-nucleotide ribosomal RNA is filed under the name uncultured archaeon. Its description in RNAcentral is "bacterial SSU rRNA". It matches the Rfam family "Archaeal small subunit ribosomal RNA", at positions 1 to 922 of the family's 1478-position model. The record is from RNAcentral.
UUCCGGUUGAUCCCGCCGGACCCGACUGCUAUUUGGGUGAGGAUAAGCCAUGCGAGUCGAAUGGGAUACCUAAAUUUCCCAUGGCGAACUGCUCAAUAACACAUGAUCAACUUGCCCUAUAGAGAAAAAUAACCUCGGGAAACUGAGGAUAAUGUUUCAUAGUUGAAAAGGCUUGGAAAAGUUUUUCGACCAAAGGGAUAAAAAAAAUGGUUUUUAUCCGCUAUAGGAUAGGAUCGUGCUCGAUUAUGGUCGUCGGUGAGGUAACGGCUCACCAAGCCGAUAAUCGAUAGGGGCCGUGAGAGCGGGAGCCCCGAGAUGGGUACUGAGACAGCGACCCAGGCCUUACGAGGCGCAGCAGGCGCGGAACCUCCGCAAUACACGAAAGUGUGACGGGGUUACCCAAAGUGUUCAUUUAUGGACUGUGGUAGGUGAGUAAUGUCCCCUACUAGAAAGGAGAGGGCAAGGCUGGUGCCAGCCGCCGCGGUAAAACCAGCUCUUCAAGUGGUCGGGAUAAUUAUUGGGCUUAAAGUGUCCGUAGCCGGUUUAGUAAGUUCCUGGUAAAAUCAGGUAGCCUAACUAUCUGCAUGCUAGGAAUACUGCUAUACUAGAGGACGGGAGAGGUCUGAGGUACUACAGGGGUAGGGGUGAAAUCUUAUAAUCCUUGUAGGACCACCAGUGGCGAAGGCGUCAGACUGGAACGAGCCUGACGGUGAGGGACGAAAGCCAGGGGAGCGAACCGGAUUAGAUACCCGGGUAGUCCUGGCCGUAAACGAUGCAUACUAGGUGAUGGCAUGGCCAUGAGCCGUGUCAGUGCCGUAGGGAAACCGUUAAGUGUGCCGCCUGGGAAGUACGGUCGCAAGGCUAAAACUUAAAGGAAUUGGCGGGGGAGCACCGCAAGGGGUGAAGCCUGCGGUUCAAUUGGAUUCAACGCCGGG